AGAGUCUGUUAAGUGAUCGCGGCUGCAAGUGUCGAAAGACCGCAGGUGAGGAAAGUCCGGGCUUCACAGGGCAGGAUGCCGGAUAACGUCCGGUGGGGGUGACCCCAAGGAAAGUGCAACAGAAAUAAACCGCUGCUUAGGCAGUAAGGGUGGAAAGGCAGUGUAAGAGACUACCGCCCGUCUGGUAACAGGCGGGGCAUAUGUAAACCCCAUUCGAAGCAAGACCGAAACGGAGCAUUGACGUGGCCCGCCAGCUCCAGGUUGGUCGCUUGAAAUGGCUGGCGACAGUCAUUCUAGAUAGAUGAUCACUCUAGACAUAACCCGGCUCAUGACAGGCUCUUUUG
This 344-nucleotide RNase P RNA is filed under the name Lachnospiraceae bacterium A10. RNAcentral describes it as "Bacterial RNase P class A". It matches the Rfam family "Bacterial RNase P class A". Rfam says of the family: Ribonuclease P (RNase P) is a ubiquitous endoribonuclease, found in archaea, bacteria and eukarya as well as chloroplasts and mitochondria. Lineage: Bacteria; Bacillati; Bacillota; Clostridia; Lachnospirales; Lachnospiraceae. The record is from Rfam by way of RNAcentral. RNAcentral also lists the same sequence under 1 other name.